RNAcentral lists this ribosomal RNA (550 nucleotides) under fungal yeast sp. DY90. RNAcentral's name for it is "eukaryotic LSU rRNA". It matches the Rfam family "Eukaryotic large subunit ribosomal RNA", at positions 69 to 664 of the family's 3401-position model. Lineage: Eukaryota; Fungi. The record is from RNAcentral.
ACAGGAUGCUUAUACGGCGAGUGAAGCGGCAAAGCUCAAAUUUGAAAUCGGCCACCAGGUCGAGUUGUAAUUUGUAGAUUGUAUCUUGAGAGCGGAUUAAAGUCUGUUGGAACACAGCGCCUUAGAGGGUGACAGCCCCGUAAAAUCUAUUCUCAUUGUAAGAUACUUUCGAAGAGUCGAGUUGUUUGGGAAUGCAGCUCUAAGUGGGAGGUAAAUUCCUUCUAAAGCUAAAUAUUGACGAGAGACCGAUAGCGAACAAGUACUGUGAAGGAAAGAUGAAAAGCACUUUGAAAAGAGAGUGAAAAAGUACGUGAAAUUGUUAAAAGGGAAGGGUAUUGAAUCAGACUUGGUGCUGUUGUUCAACCAUGUUUCGGCAUGGUGUACUCAGCAGUACUAGGCCAAGGUGGGGUGUUUGGGAGUGAAAAAGAAGUAGGAACGUAACUCUUCGGAGUGUUAUAGCCUACUUUCAUAGCUCCUCAGGCGCCUCAGGACUGCGCUUCGGCAAGGACCUUGGCAUAAUGAUUCUAUACCGCCCGUCUUGAAACACGGG